Molecule: long non-coding RNA, 1873 nt
Filed under: Homo sapiens (human)
Lineage: Eukaryota; Metazoa; Chordata; Mammalia; Primates; Hominidae
Description: HSALNT0357298
Source: RNAcentral
CUGAACACUGGGAAGGAAUGGGCACUUGGAGUCCGGACAUCUGAAACUUGGUAAGACUGGUCUUUGGAACUUGCUCGCUCCAUUUGAGUGGAAGCAUGGCCUGAUCACCCACGGUGUGCCUGUACCGGCACUUUGGUUCUUGUUUUUGACUUGACUUGAAUUGCUUGAUACUAUGGUUUUGGUUUUGACCUGGCUUGGAUUUCUGGAUACUCUGAUUUUGGUUUUGAUUCUGGCCUGGUGUAAACUGAAAAAGUGUGUGUGUGUCCUUUUUACCCAUUCUUUGUUCUGUGGUGUGCGUGUGGUAUGAGUGUGGUGUUUUGUCUUCAGGAAACAUGGGUCAGACAAAAGUAAGCCCACUCCACAAGGAGCUAUGUUGAAAAAUUCCAAGGAAGGAUUUAGUGGAGACUAUGGGGUUACUAUGACACCAGGGAAACAUAGAACUUCGUGUGAAAUAGAUUGGCCAACAUUAGAAGUGGGUUGGCCAUCAGAAGGAAGCCUGGACAGGUCCCUUGUUUCUAAGGUGUGGCACAAGGUGAUCAAGUAUGGAUUAAAGACUGGAAUGUAGCUUCUUUGUGCCCAUGGUGGAUAGGACCCCAGAUUGUCAUCCUGACCACUCUCACCGCUGUGAAGGUAGAAGGAAUCCCAGCCUGGAUCCACCACAGCCAUGUAAAACCUGCAGCGCCUGAAACCUGGGAGGCAAGACCAAGCCCGGACAACCCUUGCAGAGUGACCUUGAAGAUGAUGACAAGCCCUGCUCCAGUCACACCCAGAAGCUGACUAGUCCAUGCACGGCCGAAGCAUGAGGAAGCUCAUCGUGGAACUCAUUUUUCUUAAAUUUUGGACUUGUACAGUAAGGACUUCAACUGACCUUCCUCAGACUGAGGUAGGGCAAAAAGUUAAAACAGUCUUUCUGUUUAAAAGGGACUUGUGUGUAUAAUGCCACCCAGUACAAGGUAUGCAGCUCAGGAAGUGACCAGACUCAAGUGUGCUACAACCCAGUAGAACUACUUAAUCCCCAUUGGAAAACAAGAGAGUAUGUAACUCUAGGAGUCAAUGGAAUUGGACUGGCAGGAAGACCUAGGUAAUGUAGGUGGAAGUGAGAACUCCCACUAGUGAGUGAGGUUCUCAAAGGGGAGAAUGAGGAGGGAAGCCAUUUCUCUUACUGUCUCCUGUCUCUGAAGAACAGGAGGAAGUAAAAGUUGAAAAACAACAGGAAGGAAGUCAGUGGCAAGACCAGCCAGUGCCACUGAUGACCUGGCCUGAGGUUAAAAGGUUAACCACCCCCCUCUCCUCUAACCACAUGUGCUCUCAAUCCAUCACGACCCUUUCAUGUGGAACCCCUUAGAGUUGUAAGCCCUUAAAAGGGCCAGGAACUCUGUCUUCGGGGAGCUCGGCUCUUAAGAUGCGAGUCUGCCAACGCUCCCAGCCAAAUAAAAACCUCUUCCUUCUUCAAUCCAGUGUCUGAGGAGUUUUGUCUGUGGCCCGUCCUGCUACAGCACAAUUGUAGCCCACUGUAACCUCGAAUUCCUAGGCUCAAGUGAUCCUCCCACCUCAGCCUCCUGAGUAGAGUAGCUAGGAUUACAGGCAUGUGCCACCAUGCCAAGCUAAUUUUCUUUAGAGACAAGGUCUUGCUAUGUUGCCCAGGGUGGUCUCAAACUCCUGGGCUCUUGGCCUCUCAAAAUGUUGGAUUUUAGGAUUAUAAGCAUGAACCACUGUACCCGGACUGCUCUUUCUUACAAAAAAAAGUAUUUUCCCAUUAGAAAAUAUAGUGAAUUUGAUAAAUACAAAAAAAGGUGGAAAGACCUCUCCCUCUCCCUCUCCCUCCUCUCCCUCUCCAUCUCCCCACUCCCUCUCUCUCCACGGUCUCCCUCUG